This is a long non-coding RNA of Cynara cardunculus var. scolymus (artichoke), 966 nucleotides long. RefSeq lists it as uncharacterized. The transcript is spliced from 3 exons. Lineage: Eukaryota; Viridiplantae; Streptophyta; Magnoliopsida; Asterales; Asteraceae. The record is from RefSeq and is a predicted model, not a curated record.
GAUAUUGAUGAUCGAAGGUACAUUAUGAGAUUUAAAGAUCCAAGGGUACUAGGAACAUUUCUAAAGGGACCAACGAAGUUUACGUUGACGGAUGAUCUCAUUGUAACCCCAUUUUCAUCCGUUUAUGUAAUUGCCAUUAUGAAUGAGUUGAAAGUUCCUCUAAAGGAUAUUGAGCAUCAUGAAGUAAGCAUUGGCAUUGAGAAGGGUUUUGAACUAUUGAAUGCUUCUCUAAAAUCAAAUUCGAGUUUGAUAGACUUGUUACUUGAAGAAAUAAUCGAGAAAAAGAAAAGGUUAUCACAGAAGGAGAUUGUGCGUGGAGAUGGUGGGCGGUGUCGGAGACAAAAGGAGUCAAAAAGACCAAAAUACCCUCUAAGUUAACUUGAGUUAAUGGAUUUUUUAACAGAUAAACCACAAGGACCAUGGCCAUAACAAAUUGCAAGAAAUUAAAACCAAAUGUAUGAUAAACCUACAUCAUUUGACCCGGUAUCAUGCACAUAAUUCCAUCUGAUGCAUUUGCUUGGGAUGCACGAAUCAUAUAUGUAGGAUCAAUGUAUUUUACAUCAGCUGGAUCGUCAAUAUCCUUGUUUUUCACCUAAUAGAGUAUUUUCUAUCAUAUCUGACUGUCGAAGAAAUUAUAUUCUUAAGGUAAUUACAGUUUAAUCAAAAUCAAAAAGUCAUCCGUGAACUUCUGGUUCGACAAGAGAUCUAUGUAAUUGACCCAAAAAACAUUUGGAUCCCUUUGUUUGAAGUAGAUACUUGAGAUGACUUAGGACGCCUUGAGGUCCAUGUAACUCAAAGGGUACCUUUAACCCAAAUGAAAUCCAGAAAACCGUGUCAAUUAGUUUGUUCAGACACUAGUUUGUUCAUUCUUAGUAGAUAAUAUGUGAUGUUGUACCUUCAUUUCAGUGUGAUGCAUUAUUGAUAAUUACAUUACAAAUACUUUACAAUUCUCUUAUGGUAGCAAAG